CAAUGAUCUAACGACUGAUCAAGUUAUCUACGAGAAAAAUAUUAAAAAAAAAGAAUUAAUAAAAGAUAAACUAUAAAUUUCUAAAUAAUAGUAAUAAUGAUACUAAUUAUGAAAGAGUCCUAACUAAAAUAUGUGCCAGCAGCUGCGGUUAGACAUAGAGGGCAAGCAUUGAUCAGAAUGGCUUAAAGGAUCUGUAGAACGUAUAAAAAAUAUAGAAUAAUAAAGGGUAAUAAGAAUUAAAGUUAGAGGGAUAAAAUCCAAAGAAAACAUUAAGACUAUAAAGAGAUUACUUAAAAUUAUUGACGUUGUGAGAUGAAGGCUACGGUAGCGACAUGGAUUCGAUACCCAUUUAGUCGUAGCAGUAAACUAUGAAUACAAUAAAAGAAAAAUGAAAAUGAAUAGUAUUCCGCCUGACUAGUACGCUCGCAAGGGUGAAAUACAAGACAUUAGACGGUUGUAGUCCCAAGCAGUGGAACAUGUCAUUUAAUUGGAUGAUCCUCCAAAAACCUUACCAUCUCUUGAAUAUUUUACAGGCGUUACAUCGUUGUCGUCAGUUCAUGCCGUGAGGUUUAAUAUUAAGUUAUUGAAUGAACGUAACCCUUUUCUAAUAAAAAGAUAAGUAUAAUUGUAAAAUUAUAGGAAGUAGAGGUUGAAGACUAAUCAUGAUGACCCUAAUGAGAUGGGCUAUCGACGUGUUACAAUAUUAAUAACAAUUAAAUUAAUAAUAUUAAGUUAAAUUAAAUAUUAAGAAAAAGACAUAGUUUCAUUUAUGGAUUGUAAUCUGAAAUUCGGUUACAUAAAGGAGGAAUUGCUAGUAAUCGUAAACAAUAGAGUUACGGUGAAAUUUUUUGCUACUUCGUACUAACCACUCAUCA
This 875-nucleotide ribosomal RNA is filed under the name Metschnikowia hawaiiensis. RNAcentral's name for it is "SSU rRNA". It matches the Rfam family "Bacterial small subunit ribosomal RNA", at positions 369 to 1399 of the family's 1533-position model. The record is from RNAcentral. Lineage: Eukaryota; Fungi; Ascomycota; Pichiomycetes; Serinales; Metschnikowiaceae.